Molecule: small nuclear RNA, 167 nt
Organism: Mesocricetus auratus (golden hamster)
Lineage: Eukaryota; Metazoa; Chordata; Mammalia; Rodentia; Cricetidae
Gene: U1
Rfam family: U1 spliceosomal RNA
About the family: U1 is a small nuclear RNA (snRNA) component of the spliceosome (involved in pre-mRNA splicing). Its 5' end forms complementary base pairs with the 5' splice junction, thus defining the 5' donor site of an intron.
Source: Ensembl
AUGCAUAUGUGGCAGGUGAGAGUCCAUGAUCAUAAAGGUGGCGGCUCUCUCUCUCAGUGAGGCUCAUCCAUUGCACUUCUGAUGUUGAUCUCUGUGCUUUCCUCAAAUGGAACAAACUCAACCAUAUAAUUUGUGGUAGUAUAGGACUGUGUUUACACUUUCUUCUA